Molecule: long non-coding RNA, 255 nt
Filed under: Elaeis guineensis (African oil palm)
Lineage: Eukaryota; Viridiplantae; Streptophyta; Magnoliopsida; Arecales; Arecaceae
Description: long non-coding RNA (EGUI_LNC015737)
Source: RNAcentral
UCUCAUUCACCUUUCAUCAUCUCUCUUCUCUAGGUGUUGGUUUCAAACAAAAUAUUCUCUUUUCUCCAAGAAAAGAAGUAAAAACAAAAAAAAGUCUAGAUCAAGGAUGUCCGCCAGCAUAUGCCGUUGCCCAUUGCAGUGGGCAAUGGACAUGUAAAUGGCCAGUGCCCACCCUAGAUAUCCAUAAAUACCCAAGAGAGGGAGCCGGCAUUUCUGUGGCCAUCAAGCCAACAGUAGACACAAAUGUGCAGUUGA